RNAcentral lists this ribosomal RNA (386 nucleotides) under uncultured organism. RNAcentral's name for it is "bacterial SSU rRNA". It matches the Rfam family "Bacterial small subunit ribosomal RNA", at positions 45 to 433 of the family's 1533-position model. The record is from RNAcentral.
UGCUUUACACAUGCAAGUCGAACGGCAGCACGGACUUCGGUCUGGUGGCGAGUGGCGAACGGGUGAGUAAUGUAUCGGAACGUGCCCAGUCGUGGGGGAUAACGUAGUGAAAAUUACGCUAAUACCGCAUACGAUCUAUGGAUGAAAGCGGGGGAUCGCAAGACCUCGCGCGAUUGGAGCGGCCGAUAUCAGAUUAGGUAGUUGGUAGGGUAAAGGCCUACCAAGCCAACGAUCUGUAGCUGGUCUGAGAGGACGACCAGCCACACUGGAACUGAGACACGGUCCAGACUCCUACGGGAGGCAGCAGUGGGGAAUUUUGGACAAUGGGCGAAAGCCUGAUCCAGCCAUUCCGCGUGCAGGAUGAAGGCCCUCGGGUUGUAAACUGC